This is a long non-coding RNA of Parus major (Great Tit), 694 nucleotides long. RefSeq lists it as uncharacterized. The record is from RefSeq and is a predicted model, not a curated record. The transcript is spliced from 3 exons. NCBI's taxonomy places the organism in Eukaryota, Metazoa, Chordata, Aves, Passeriformes, Paridae.
CUUGGGGGACGAGGGGGAUGUGGACCAGGGCAUGCAACAGGAGACUGAGUAGUGCCUCCAACACUCUCCUUAAUGGCCAGAUCUCUCUCAGCGCUGGAUUUCUCCCUUCUCUUCCGUUUUUGGUAUUUUUCCUAGGCAUGUGCGUCAUGGGCUGUCGCAGAGCAGAAAGGCCUCAGGCCAGGAAGCCACAGAGGGCAGCCAGAACCAGGAUGAACCCCACCACCACCGGGACUCCGAAGGUCUUCCCUGCCCCCAUCCCAGCUUGUCUGCCUCCUCCUGGGCCAAGAAGAUAUGUUUGAAUUUACAUGAUAAUGCUUACUCAAGGAGAAAACCAGUGCUGACCACCCCAGCAGCACUCACACACGUGUCUUCUCAUGAGCACGGCCCAGGUUCUGGGCAUCAGCUAUCCAGCUUUUCCUCUCCCCCAUCUUUGCCUCCCCUUCCCUUCAUAACUGUGAUCCUUUUUGGAAUAGCAAAAGUUAAAGCUUGGUGAGUAGUUCGAGCUGUUUGCAUCUCAGAGCUGAAUACGCUUGAUAAUCGCACAAAUGCAUAAUUAAAGAGCAGAAAAAAUGACUCACUGGAUAAGGAAAUGCGCUUUUCUUAUCUCCUCUGCAGAGAAAUGAAAACCCCAGGAGCCUGGGUCUCCGGCUAAGUCCUUUUAUUAAACAAAUAAACCAGAAAAGGUAUCAAAUGA